AAACCCUACAUGGCAGUUUGAACGGAGUUGUUAUCAGAAGUUUCUUCGGGAUGGAAGUAUAAGAACUUAGUGGCGGACGGGUGAGUAACGCGUGGGUAACCUGCCCUUUUGUGGGGAACAACUUCGAGAAAUCGGAGCUAAUACCGCAUAAUAAUAGAGAAUCGCAUGAUUUUCUAAGGAAAGAUGGCCUCUGAAGAUGCUAUCGCAAAAGGAUGGACCCGCGUCUGAUUAGCUAGUUGGAAGGGUAACGGCCUACCAAGGCAACGAUCAGUAGCCGGCCUGAGAGGGUGAACGGCCACAUUGGGACUGAGACACGGCCCAAACUCCUACGGGAGGCAGCAGUGGGGAAUCUUCCGCAAUGGGCGAAAGCCUGACGGAGCAAUGCCGCGUGAGUGAAGAAGGCCUUCGGGUUGUAAAACUCUGUCCUUAUCGAAGAGAGGUGGGUAUGUGAAUAAUGUACUCAUAGGACGGUAGAUAAGGAGGAAGCCCCGGCUAACUACGUGCCAGCAGCCGCGGUAAUACGUAGGGGGCGAGCGUUGUCCGGAAUCACUGGGCGUAAAGGGCGCGUAGGCGGUUUAAUAAGUCAGUGGUGAAAACUGAGGGCUCAACCCUCAGCCUGCCACUGAUACUGUUAGACUUGAGUAUGGAAGAGGAGAAUGGAAUUCCUAGUGUAGCGGUGAAAUGCGUAGAUAUUAGGAGGAACACCAGUGGCGAAGGCGAUUCUCUGGGCCAAGACUGACGCUGAGGCGCGAAAGCGUGGGGAGCAAACAGGAUUAGAUACCCUGGUAGUCCACGCCGUA
RNAcentral lists this ribosomal RNA (800 nucleotides) under uncultured bacterium. RNAcentral describes it as "bacterial SSU rRNA". It matches the Rfam family "Bacterial small subunit ribosomal RNA", at positions 64 to 804 of the family's 1533-position model. The record is from RNAcentral.